Molecule: ribosomal RNA, 253 nt
Filed under: uncultured bacterium
Lineage: Bacteria
Description: partial 16S ribosomal RNA
Rfam family: Bacterial small subunit ribosomal RNA
Source: RNAcentral
UACGUAGGGUGCAAGCGUUAUCCGGAAUUAUUGAGCGUAAAGAGCUCGUAGGCGGUUUGUCGCGUCUGCUGUGAAAACUGGAGGCUCAACCUCCAGCCUGCAGUGGGUACGGGCAGACUAGAGUGCGGUAGGGGAGAUUGGAAUUCCUGGUGUAGCGGUGGAAUGCGCAGAUAUCAGGAGGAACACCGAUGGCGAAGGCAGAUCUCUGGGCCGUAACUGACGCUGAGGAGCGAAAGCAUGGGGAGCGAACAGG